AUGGGAAAGAUUUCCCCCUGACGAGGAGGGAGUCUCCCGACCCGUUCUUUCCCUCCUGGACGUGCCAGGGUAAGGCGAGGGUGCUGGGGGCCUGCAGCUGGGCGAGAAAAGGGCCGAGUGCCGAGAGAAUUGUGGCGGUGCCUAUCCAGCCCCUGCUGUCAAACAGAAACAUCUAUGGUCCCGGUAAGGGUGCCACGCCCGGUCCACCAGACACAGACAUCAAAUAGCCUUACCUUGGUGAGAUUCAAGGCUGUCUGCUCCGAGAGGGACUUACUGGCAAACAGCCCAAGCAGAAGAACAUCAGCAAGGGGGACCAAGGAAGAUGUGUCUGCUCACCACGGGGCUUGCUGUGGAUGUCAUGAAGAGGCUUGGCAGCGUUGAAGACAAUAAAGCAUGCUUUCCUGGAAGAAACAAUGCUGGAUUAAGGACUAAAACAUGGUCACUUUUUUCACCACGAGGAAGACCUGUCCUUGUUAAAAAUGUACUGGCUUCAGACACAUGGAAGAGAGUCUGAGAAUGUUUUGAGUAGGAAUGUUGCUGGAGAUAAAUUAUGGGCUAAGAAAUCAGCUGACUGAGUCGACCGUAUAGAUUUUCCCAGGUCACAUUACUUUUCCAUUUGUAUUCUCAAUCGCUUUUGAACACCCUUCAUGCAAGUCAGCAUAUCAAAAGAUGAUUUUAUACAAGGAUUACCGAUUUCAAAUAAAUAAAGAACCAAAAGAAAUAGAUUUCAAUUGCAUCCAGACUGGUUGGAGAUAAAAUGAGGAGUGCUACAACUCGCUGGGCCAGCACAGACAGGAGCCCUGGGAGCGCUCUCCUCUGAGAUCGAUGAAGUGAGAAUAGGCCCCAGUAAAGCAGUGGAGAAAACUGUCUUCCUGAGCCCCCUCUAGCCCAAGGAUUCCAGCUAUUCUUUGCACUCAGCCCCCAUGGGGUUAAUGAUGAAUUAUUACAAACAAUGAAGACAUUUAAGGCUGAAGACUAAGCCAUGAUUUGCUGUUCUCUGCCUGUUCACCCCCAACUAUUUCUAAUCCCACUAUUUCCUGAUGAGAACACACACUUAACCAGAUAUUCUACUUCAUUUUUGGAAAAUCUCUUGAAGUUGCUUUGGAUGAGCUGAGGAAAUGACAUCAUCACCCCUUGCUGGCUGCAGGAGUGACUGAGCCCUUGGGUUUGGGUGGGGUUGGGCUGCUGGUGAACGCAGAAGGUGUGGCGCUGCCGAGAGAACUGGACCCCAGAACCGCUCUGUUCUCCAAGUCAGAGUGACAUUCACUCCUCAGGUG
Long non-coding RNA from Homo sapiens (human), 1277 nucleotides. Ensembl annotates it as ADGRD1 antisense RNA 1. Its record names the gene ADGRD1-AS1. NCBI's taxonomy places the organism in Eukaryota, Metazoa, Chordata, Mammalia, Primates, Hominidae. The record is from Ensembl.